RNAcentral lists this ribosomal RNA (112 nucleotides) under Enterobacter roggenkampii. RNAcentral describes it as "partial 23S ribosomal RNA". It matches the Rfam family "Bacterial large subunit ribosomal RNA", at positions 2814 to 2925 of the family's 2925-position model. The record is from RNAcentral. Lineage: Bacteria; Pseudomonadati; Pseudomonadota; Gammaproteobacteria; Enterobacterales; Enterobacteriaceae.
UAAGUUAAGUCUCCUGAAGGAACGUUGAAGACGACGACGUUGAUAGGUCGGGUGUGUAAGCGCAGCGAUGCGUUGAGCUAACCGAUACUAAUGAACCGUGAGGCUUAACCUU